RNAcentral lists this ribosomal RNA (433 nucleotides) under uncultured bacterium. RNAcentral's name for it is "partial 16S ribosomal RNA". It matches the Rfam family "Bacterial small subunit ribosomal RNA", at positions 29 to 507 of the family's 1533-position model. The record is from RNAcentral.
AACGAACGCUGGCGGCAUGCCUAACACAUGCAAGUCGAACGAGACCUUCGGGUCUAGUGGCGCACGGGUGCGUAACGCGUGGGAACCUGCCCUUAGGCUCGGAAUAACUCCCCGAAAGGGGUGCUAAUACCGGAUAAUGUCCUCGGACCAAAGAUUUAUCGCCCUUGGAUGGGCCCGCGUUGGAUUAGCUGGUUGGUAGGGUAAAAGCCUACCAAGGCGACGAUCCAUAGCUGGUCUGAGAGGAUGAUCAGCCACACUGGGACUGGGACGCGGCCCAGACUCCUACGGGAGGCAGCAGUGGGGAAUAUUGGACAAUGGGCGAAAGCCUGAUCCAGCAAUGCCGCGUGAGUGAUGAAGGCGUUAGAGUUGUAAAGCUCUUUUACCCGGGAUGAUAAUGACAGUACCGGGAGAAUAAGCUCCGGCUAACUCCGUG